UCCCUGGUGAUCCAGUGGCUAAGGUUCCAUGCUUCCAAUGCAGGGGGCCCAGGUUCGAUCCCUGGUCAGGGAG
Molecule: transfer RNA, 73 nt
Filed under: Bos taurus (domestic cattle)
Lineage: Eukaryota; Metazoa; Chordata; Mammalia; Artiodactyla; Bovidae
Also listed under: 4 other names
Rfam family: tRNA
About the family: Transfer RNA (tRNA) molecules are approximately 80 nucleotides in length. Their secondary structure includes four short double-helical elements and three loops (D, anti-codon, and T loops). Further hydrogen bonds mediate the characteristic L-shaped molecular structure. tRNAs have two regions of fundamental functional importance: the anti-codon, which is responsible for specific mRNA codon recognition, and the 3' end, to which the tRNAs corresponding amino acid is attached (by aminoacyl-tRNA synthetases). tRNAs cope with the degeneracy of the genetic code in two manners: having more than one tRNA (with a specific anti-codon) for a particular amino acid; and 'wobble' base-pairing, i.e. permitting non-standard base-pairing at the 3rd anti-codon position.
Source: Rfam by way of RNAcentral